AACUUUCAACAACGGAUCACUUGGUUCUCGCAUCGAUGAAGAACGCAGCAAAAUGCGAUAAGUAUUGUGAAUUGCAGAAUUUUGUGAAUCAUCGAAUUUUUGAACGCACAUUGCACCUUCUGGUAUUCCGGAGGGUAUACCUGUUUGAGCGUCAUUUAUAUACUCAAAACUUCGUUUUGGUUGUGGGCACGUAUCCGGCGUAGGCUAGAUUUGCCUGAAAUAUAGAGGUAGAGAUCGCUACAAGUGAUGCAAGUUAGCCAAUGCUAUUAAGUUAAUUCGUUGGUGAAGCAUGUGGAGCUUUAGUGAUAGUCUUCCUUAAUUAUUGGAAUUUUUCUAAUUUUGACCUCAAAUCAGGCAGGAGUACCCGCUGAACUUAAGCAUAUCAAUAAGCGGAGGCU
RNAcentral lists this unclassified non-coding RNA (398 nucleotides) under uncultured Lipomyces. RNAcentral's name for it is "sequence contains ITS2". The stretch from base 1 to 154 matches the Rfam family "5.8S ribosomal RNA". Lineage: Eukaryota; Fungi; Ascomycota; Lipomycetes; Lipomycetales; Lipomycetaceae. The record is from RNAcentral.